Molecule: ribosomal RNA, 253 nt
Filed under: uncultured bacterium
Lineage: Bacteria
Description: partial 16S ribosomal RNA
Rfam family: Bacterial small subunit ribosomal RNA
Source: RNAcentral
UACGGGGGGGGUAAGCGUUGUUCGGAAUUACUGGGCGUAAAGGGCUCGUAGGCGGCCAACUAAGUCGGACGUGAAAUCCCUCAGCUUAACUGGGGAACUGCGUCCGAUACUGGAUGGCUUGGAUUUGGGAGAGGGAUGCGGAAUUCCGGGUGUAGCGGUGGAAUGCGUAGAGAUCCGGAAGAACACCGGUGGCGAAGGCGGUUAGCUGGGCAGUUGCUGACACUGAGGCGCGACAGCGUGGGGAGCAAACAGG